Leopardus geoffroyi (Geoffroy's cat) is the source of this 426-nucleotide long non-coding RNA. RefSeq lists it as uncharacterized. NCBI's taxonomy places the organism in Eukaryota, Metazoa, Chordata, Mammalia, Carnivora, Felidae. The record is from RefSeq and is a predicted model, not a curated record. The transcript has 2 exons.
GUGACUAGGAGAGCUUAACUGAGCUCACAACCUCAUUCUCUUCUGUGAUCUAUAAAUAUAGAACUCUACUCACCAACUAUGUUCUCUUUUAUGUAGGCAUACCCCCAGCCCCUCAGGAUCUAUGCUCAGAGGAAAAGAGAACUGGAGGCCAACUCAGCAGCCAGUCACUCAGACACUGUGAAGAUAAAAGAAAACAAAAAACAAAAACAGGACAAAUGAUCGGUCACCAAGAUCUACCAUGGGACCGCACUGCCUUGGGGACUAUUGACAAAUGCACAAUGUAAUGGAUAAAAUUCACUAAGAUGGAACACCAUCAUGCAUAAAUGCAGAAAAUGGUGAGUGUUUUCAUUUAUCUUUGACUUUCAGAGAUGGAAGAAACAGUGCUGAGAAGCAUAUGACACCAAAAAAUAAAGACCCUGGAACGUG